Molecule: long non-coding RNA, 386 nt
Organism: Syngnathus acus (greater pipefish)
Lineage: Eukaryota; Metazoa; Chordata; Actinopteri; Syngnathiformes; Syngnathidae
Exons: 2
Source: RefSeq, a predicted model, not a curated record
GCAACCACAGAGGCUGUCAAAAAGAACGUUCUUUUAUACUAUAUUGUGUGCUUAUGAUAUUUAUAGUAUUGUUUGCCUGCAAUUAAAUCUUUAUGAUGUGACCAUUUGUUAUUUCUGCUUGCGUAUGCUAAAUGUAUGUUUUGAGUUAGUUUGCUUCCGUUGUAUUAUGAUGUGUGAAGGUUUGUCCAAUCCUAGCAUUACCACUAGUGGUCUGUACAAUCAAAAGCUUUCAAAAGCAAAAAAUAAAAAGAGCCAUGCAAAAAUGCACCAAAAUGGCGUCAUGAGGAGGUCUGACUAAUACUCGUACAUCAGGAGUAAUAAAGUAUGAUCUAAUUGACCAGAUUAUAAAAUUGCCCUGUCCAAAUCAGUAAACUAUUCAAUGAGUU